Molecule: ribosomal RNA, 535 nt
Filed under: uncultured bacterium
Lineage: Bacteria
Description: partial 16S ribosomal RNA
Rfam family: Bacterial small subunit ribosomal RNA
Source: RNAcentral
UGGGGAAUAUUGCACAAUGGGCGCAAGCCUGAUGCAGCAACGCCGCGUGAGGGACGACGGCCUUCGGGUUGUAAACCUCUUUUAGUAGGGAAGAAGCGAAAGUGACGGUACCUGCAGAAAAAGCACCGGCUAACUACGUGCCAGCAGCCGCGGUAAUACGUAGGGUGCGAGCGUUGUCCGGAAUUAUUGGGCGUAAAGAGCUCGUAGGCGGUCUGUCGCGUCUGCUGUGAAAACCCGAGGCUCAACCUCGGGCCUGCAGUGGGUACGGGCAGACUAGAGUGCGGUAGGGGAGAAUGGAAUUCCUGGUGUAGCGGUGGAAUGCGCAGAUAUCAGGAGGAACACCGAUGGCGAAGGCAGUUCUCUGGGCCGUAACUGACGCUGAGGAGCGAAAGCGUGGGGAGCGAACAGGAUUAGAUACCCUGGUAGUCCACGCCGUAAACGUUGGGCGCUAGAUGUGGGGACCAUUCCACGGUUUCCGUGUCGCAGCUAACGCAUUAAGCGCCCGCCUGGGGAGUACGGCCGCAAGGCUAAAACU